UACAGAGGUCUCAAGCGUUGUUCGGAAUCACUGGGCGUAAAGGGCGCGUAGGCGGCCUUGCAAGUCGGUUGGUGAAAGCCCGGGGCUCAACCCCGGAGGUGCGGCCGAGACUGCAGGGCUGGAGGCCGGAAGAGGAGGGUGGAAUACCCAGUGUAGAGGUGAAAUUCGUAGAUAUUGGGUGGAACACCGGUGGCGAAAGCGGCUCUCUGGUCCGGACCUGACGCUGAGGCGCGAAAGCGUGGGGAGCAAACAGG
This 254-nucleotide ribosomal RNA is filed under the name uncultured bacterium. RNAcentral's name for it is "partial 16S ribosomal RNA". It matches the Rfam family "Bacterial small subunit ribosomal RNA", at positions 524 to 776 of the family's 1533-position model. The record is from RNAcentral.